Molecule: transfer RNA, 102 nt
Rfam family: tRNA
About the family: Transfer RNA (tRNA) molecules are approximately 80 nucleotides in length. Their secondary structure includes four short double-helical elements and three loops (D, anti-codon, and T loops). Further hydrogen bonds mediate the characteristic L-shaped molecular structure. tRNAs have two regions of fundamental functional importance: the anti-codon, which is responsible for specific mRNA codon recognition, and the 3' end, to which the tRNAs corresponding amino acid is attached (by aminoacyl-tRNA synthetases). tRNAs cope with the degeneracy of the genetic code in two manners: having more than one tRNA (with a specific anti-codon) for a particular amino acid; and 'wobble' base-pairing, i.e. permitting non-standard base-pairing at the 3rd anti-codon position.
Source: Rfam
ACUGGCGUGGCAGAAGGGUAAUGCAUAGCUUGACAAUGACCUCCUUGACAAAAGAGUACUUGGUCAAAGCUAAGGUUGCGGGUUCAAGUCCCGUCGUCAGUA